UUAAGUUAUUAAGGGCGCACGGUGGAUGCCUUGGCACUAGAAGCCGAUGAAGGACGUUACUAACGACGAUAUGCUUUGGGGAGCUGUAAGUAAGCUUUGAUCCAGAGAUUUCCGAAUGGGGAAACCCAGCAUGAGUUAUGUCAUGUUAUCGAUAUGUGAAUACAUAGCAUAUCAGAAGGCACACCCGGAGAACUGAAACAUCUUAGUACCCGGAGGAAGAGAAAGAAAAUUCGAUUCCCUUAGUAGCGGCGAGCGAAACGGGAAGAGCCCAAACCAACAAGCUUGCUUGUUGGGGUUGUAGGACACUCUAUACGGAGUUACAAAGGACGACAUUAGACGAAUCAUCUGGAAAGAUGAAUCAAAGAAGGUAAUAAUCCUGUAGUCGAAAAUGUUGUCUCUCUUGAGUGGAUCCUGAGUACGACGGAGCACGUGAAAUUCCGUCGGAAUCUGGGAGGACCAUCUCCUAAGGCUAAAUACUCUCUAGUGACCGAUAGUGAACCAGUACCGUGAGGGAAAGGUGAAAAGCACCCCGGAAGGGGAGUGAAAUAGAACCUGAAACCGUGUGCUUACAAGUAGUCAGAGCCCGUUAAUGGGUGAUGGCGUGCCUUUUGUAGAAUGAACCGGCGAGUUACGAUUUGAUGCAAGGUUAAGCAGUAAAUGUGGAGCCGUAGCGAAAGCGAGUCUGAAUAGGGCGUUUAGUAUUUGGUCGUAGACCCGAAACCAGGUGAUCUACCCUUGGUCAGGUUGAAGUUCAGGUAACACUGAAUGGAGGACCGAACCGACUUACGUUGAAAAGUGAGCGGAUGAACUGAGGGUAGCGGAGAAAUUCCAAUCGAACCUGGAGAUAGCUGGUUCUCUCCGAAAUAGCUUUAGGGCUAGCCUCAAGUGAUGAUUAUUGGAGGUAGAGCACUGUUUGGACGAGGGGCCCCUCUCGGGUUACCGAAUUCAGACAAACUCCGAAUGCCAAUUAAUUUAACUUGGGAGUCAGAACAUGGGUGAUAAGGUCCGUGUUCGAAAGGGAAACAGCCCAGACCACCAGCUAAGGUCCCAAAAUAUAUGUUAAGUGGAAAAGGAUGUGGCGUUGCCCAGACAACUAGGAUGUUGGCUUAGAAGCAGCCAUCAUUUAAAGAGUGCGUAAUAGCUCACUAGUCGAGUGACACUGCGCCGAAAAUGUACCGGGGCUAAACAUAUUACCGAAGCUGUGGAUUGUCCUUUGGACAAUGGUAGGAGAGCGUUCUAAGGGCGUUGAAGCAUGAUCGUAAGGACAUGUGGAGCGCUUAGAAGUGAGAAUGCCGGUGUGAGUAGCGAAAGACGGGUGAGAAUCCCGUCCACCGAUUGACUAAGGUUUCCAGAGGAAGGCUCGUCCGCUCUGGGUUAGUCGGGUCCUAAGCUGAGGCCGACAGGCGUAGGCGAUGGAUAACAGGUUGAUAUUCCUGUACCACCUAUAAUCGUUUUAAUCGAUGGGGGGACGCAGUAGGAUAGGCGAAGCGUGCGAUUGGAUUGCACGUCUAAGCAGUAAGGCUGAGUAUUAGGCAAAUCCGGUACUCGUUAAGGCUGAGCUGUGAUGGGGAGAAGACAUUGAGUCUUCGAGUCGUUGAUUUCACACUGCCGAGAAAAGCCUCUAGAUAGAAAAUAGGUGCCCGUACCGCAAACCGACACAGGUAGUCAAGAUGAGAAUUCUAAGGUGAGCGAGCGAACUCUCGUUAAGGAACUCGGCAAAAUGACCCCGUAACUUCGGGAGAAGGGGUGCUCUUUAGGGUUAACGCCCAGAAGAGCCGCAGUGAAUAGGCCCAAGCGACUGUUUAUCAAAAACACAGGUCUCUGCUAAACCGUAAGGUGAUGUAUAGGGGCUGACGCCUGCCCGGUGCUGGAAGGUUAAGAGGAGUGGUUAGCUUCUGCGAAGCUACGAAUCGAAGCCCCAGUAAACGGCGGCCGUAACUAUAACGGUCCUAAGGUAGCGAAAUUCCUUGUCGGGUAAGUUCCGACCCGCACGAAAGGCGUAACGAUUUGGGCACUGUCUCAACGAGAGACUCGGUGAAAUCAUAGUACCUGUGAAGAUGCAGGUUACCCGCGACAGGACGGAAAGACCCCGUGGAGCUUUACUGUAGCCUGAUAUUGAAAUUCGGCACAGCUUGUACAGGAUAGGUAGGAGCCUUUGAAACGUGAGCGCUAGCUUACGUGGAGGCGCUGGUGGGAUACUACCCUAGCUGUGUUGGCUUUCUAACCCGCACCACUUAUCGUGGUGGGAGACAGUGUCAGGCGGGCAGUUUGACUGGGGCGGUCGCCUCCUAAAAGGUAACGGAGGCGCUCAAAGGUUCCCUCAGAAUGGUUGGAAAUCAUUCAUAGAGUGUAAAGGCAUAAGGGAGCUUGACUGCGAGACCUACAAGUCGAGCAGGGUCGAAAGACGGACUUAGUGAUCCGGUGGUUCCGCAUGGAAGGGCCAUCGCUCAACGGAUAAAAGCUACCCCGGGGAUAACAGGCUUAUCUCCCCCAAGAGUUCACAUCGACGGGGAGGUUUGGCACCUCGAUGUCGGCUCAUCGCAUCCUGGGGCUGUAGUCGGUCCCAAGGGUUGGGCUGUUCGCCCAUUAAAGCGGUACGCGAGCUGGGUUCAGAACGUCGUGAGACAGUUCGGUCCCUAUCCGUCGUGGGCGUAGGAAAUUUGAGAGGAGCUGUCCUUAGUACGAGAGGACCGGGAUGGACAUACCUCUGGUGUAACAGUUGUCGUGCCAACGGCAUAGCUGGGUAGCUAUGUGUGGACGGGAUAAGUGCUGAAAGCAUCUAAGCAUGAAGCCCCCCUCAAGAUGAGAUUUCCCAACUUCGGUUAUAAGAUCCCUCAAAGAUGAUGAGGUUAAUAGGUUCGAGGUGGAAGCAUGGUGACAUGUGGAGCUGACGAAUACUAAUCGAUCGAAGACUUAAUCAA
RNAcentral lists this ribosomal RNA (2921 nucleotides) under Staphylococcus aureus. Its description in RNAcentral is "bacterial LSU rRNA". It matches the Rfam family "Bacterial large subunit ribosomal RNA". Lineage: Bacteria; Bacillati; Bacillota; Bacilli; Caryophanales; Staphylococcaceae. The record is from RNAcentral.